Molecule: unclassified non-coding RNA, 187 nt
Filed under: uncultured Inocybe
Lineage: Eukaryota; Fungi; Basidiomycota; Agaricomycetes; Agaricales; Cortinariaceae
Description: sequence contains ITS2
Source: RNAcentral
AAUUCUCAACUACACUGGCUCUGAUCAGUGUGGCUUGGAUUUGGGGGGUUCAUUGUGGGCUUUUAAUUUUUUCAAGUCUGCUCCUCUGAAAUUAAUUAGCAGUGGAACUGUCUACAGAUGUGAUAAUUAUCUACAUCCUAGACAUCUUCUGGAGUCUGCUUUCUAAACCUUACUUUGUAAUUGACAA